RNAcentral lists this long non-coding RNA (2734 nucleotides) under Pan troglodytes (chimpanzee). Its description in RNAcentral is "lncRNA (ENSPTRG00000054298.1)". The record is from RNAcentral. Lineage: Eukaryota; Metazoa; Chordata; Mammalia; Primates; Hominidae.
ACCCGUAUGCAGACAUAGUAAAGAAAAAAAAAUAAGAUUUCUUUUUAAUUUUAUAGAGUUGAACUGAAACUCGCUCACAGAGACAUUUCCACUUGACACUAGUGCCUUGGGAGCCUCAAAGUAGAUGAGACGUUUACUAACAAGCACACACAAACACAACCGCCACCUGAUUUCUGCCUGCGUUUCCACUGGCAAUCUUAUGCUUAGCUACCUUUGGACCCCCGGAGGGAAAAGAAACCAAAACAGAACAAAACUUCUCACAUCAGAACUACCAGUUACGGGGGAAGAGAAAAAAGAAAACACAAGCAAACAGAAAAGAAGUCCUCUAGAGUGCAAGGUUUCCCAGGAGCGUGGGCUCUCUGGCACCCUCUCCACGGAGGCGGCGGGCCAGCUGCAUGUCUUGGGGCAUAAUUGUGACGCGCCUGGCAUGGAUGGCACACAGGUUGGUGUCUUCAAAGAGCUGCACCAGGUAGGCCUCGCUGGCCUCCUGCAGGGCGCCAAUGGCCGCGCUCUGGAAGCGCAGGUCCAGGCUGAUGGCCUGGGCGAUCUCGCGCACCAGGCGCUGGAAGGGCAGCUUGCGCAGGAGCAGCUGCGUGGACUUCUGGUACUUUCUGAUUUCCCGCAGCGCCAGGGUGCCAGGCUUGUAGCGAGAGAAGAGGAAAAACACAACAGAACGCAAAGGAAACCAUUUACAAUGCAAGAUUUCCCAGGAGGGCUCUUCAGCACCCUCUCCACGGAGGCUGUGGGCCAGCUGCACGUCUCUUGGCAUAAUUGGGACGCUUCUGGCAUGGAUGACAUACAGGGCUACUUUUGGACCCCGUGAGGGAAAUAAAACCAAAAGUGAAGAAAAAUGCUAAUAUCAGAUCCAGGAUGAACGCAGAGAAGAGUAAAAACACAAUCAAACGGAAACGAAGCCGUCUAAAGUGCAGUGUUUGCCAGGAGUGUGGGCUCUCCGCGGAGGCGAUGGGCCAGCUGCAUGUCUCUGGGCAUAACUGUGACACGCCUGGCAUGGAUUGCACAUGGGUUGGCGUCUUCAAAGAGGCGCACCAGGUAGGCCUCGCUGGUACCCUGAGAGCACCAAUGGCAGCGAUCUGGAAGCGCAGGUCCGGGUUGAUAGCCUGGGCGAUCUCGCGCACCAGGAGCUGGAAGGGCAGCUUGCACAGGAGCGGCUGCGUGGACUUCUGCUGGUACUUUCUGAUUUUGCGCAGCGCCAGUGUGCCAGGCCUGUAGCGCUGAGGCUUCUUGAUGACUCCUGUGAACGGCGCCCUCUUGCCAGCGGCCUUGGUGGCCAGGGUCUUCCUUGGGGGGCAGAGGGUGGCUUUGCGGACGGUGGGCUUGGUGUGCGCCAUGGUGUGGGUCACGGCCUUUCCUGUGUCCUUGGGCUGAGCCUGGUGAACAGGAGGCAGCGCUGGUACCUGACAGCAAUGAUGGUGGGGCUGUGGACAGGAUUCAGCUGCAGGCUCUCCCCUCUCCUUGGGCUGAGCCUGGUCAGCUGCAGGCUACCCUAGCGUCAGAGAGCGAGGGCAGUGGGGCUAUGGACAGGAUUCAGAGAGCCUGUGAGUUGAGAUCCAUGAAGAAGAUGCACCCACACGCUUAGCCCUUUCCAACCCAGCCCUGGACUUACCAGCUCCCAGGUCUGCGGGUCAGAGGCCCCACUGUUCCUUCUCCCCUGUGGGUUUCAGGCUUCCAAGGUCUACACAGCAGCAGCCAGGAAUCUCCCUUCCAAGCUGUCUGGCUCUGGCUGAAGAUCUCUGUGGUCUCAGCCAAGUGCAGCCUCUUAUAAGGGGUCAGAUGAUUGCAUUAGAACCACCCAGCUACCUUCCAUUGUUCUCACUGCUUCACUAGACCCUCAACCUCAUCAGGGCUGUGAAAACCUAAUCAAAUCCUUAGGUUCUGCUCACACCCAAUGGAGGGAGGAACCUCUGGACUGUGCCUCAUGAGAGGGAUGGUAGGUGUGAGUUAGCUGGAAUCUGGGUGCGAAAAUGAUUCUGAAAGUUUACAUCUCAUGAUCAUCAUGGAAAUAGUUACAAUGAAAACGACAUUUGAAUAAAGUCACACAUUCGAUGACUUUCAUGACUGCUGCAGAACUCCACUGGGUGCCACCAUGAGGUGUCUCUCAGAUUCUCUGAGGAUGAGGUGAAACAGGGAGGGAAAGAUGGAAAACCGAAAUGGUCACUCCUCUAUCAGGGACCCCCCCAGGGACAUUUUUCUCCCCAAAAGUGACAUUCAUGAAAAUCUGCCUUGGGGAGAAAGCUGAAGUCUUUUUGAUAAAAGUCUUUUUGAUAAAAGUCUUUUUGAUAAAAUGGUCACAUGUGCCCGUCACAUCAUAUCAUAGAAAAACUUUAGGUUUAUGGCAAAAUUGGGCAGAAGAAACAGAGGUCCCCUAUAUCCUCUACCCACUUACACUAUCAACUUUCUGCCCUAGUCAUUAUUCUGACUCCAAGACCAUUGCUCUCCUUAGGAUUCACUUGUGUGUUGUACAUUCUAUUGGUUCAAGUAAAGGCAUAAUUACAUGUAUCCACCAGUAUCGUAUCCCAAGGAAGAGUCUUGUGGAGCAGUUUCACUUCCGUCCAAAUCCACGGUGUCUUGUCUCUUCACUGCUCCUUCACCUUCCAUCCUUUGCAACCACUCAACUAUUGAUUUAUUUAUUCAUAUUUAAAUAAACACAUCUCAUUGUACCUAUUUCUUAUGUACAAAGUGAUGUUUUAAAUUAUGUACACAUUGCCUGAUGUCU